UACGGAAGGCAGCAGUGGGGAAUAUUGCACAAUGGGCGAAAGCCUGAUGCAGCUAUGCCGCGUGUAUGAAGAAGGCCUUAGGGUUGUAAAGUACUUUCAUCGGGGAGGAAAAAACAAAACUAAUAAUUUUAUUUCUUGACGUUACCCGAAAAAGAAGCACCGGCUAACUCCGUGCCAGCAGCCGCGGUAAUACGGAGGGUGCUAGCGUUAAUCAGAAUUACUGGGCGUAAAGAGCACGUAGGUGGUUUUUUUAAAGUCAGAUGUGAAAUCCCUGGGCUUAACCUAGGAAACUGCAUUUUGAAACUGAAAUACUAGAGUAUCGUAGAGGGAGGUAGAAUUCUAGGUGUAGCGGUGAAAUGCGUAGAUAUCUGGAGGAAUACCUGUGGCGAAAGCGGCCUCCUAAACGAAUACUGACACUGAGGUGCGAAAGCGUGGGGAGCAAACAGGGAUUAGAUACC
Molecule: ribosomal RNA, 458 nt
Filed under: uncultured bacterium
Lineage: Bacteria
Description: bacterial SSU rRNA
Rfam family: Bacterial small subunit ribosomal RNA
Source: RNAcentral